GGGCAAAUAGUGUAGUUGGUUAUCGCGCCCGCUUCGCACCGUGGUUCCCGCUUAGGAGGUGAACCCAUUACGUAAUGCGGGAGGUGCUGGGUUCAAUUCCCAGUUUGUCCA
Mycena latifolia is the source of this 111-nucleotide non-coding RNA. NCBI's taxonomy places the organism in Eukaryota, Fungi, Basidiomycota, Agaricomycetes, Agaricales, Mycenaceae. The record is from the annotation of a GenBank genome assembly.